Molecule: ribosomal RNA, 481 nt
Filed under: uncultured bacterium
Lineage: Bacteria
Description: bacterial SSU rRNA
Rfam family: Bacterial small subunit ribosomal RNA
Source: RNAcentral
CUACGUGCCAGCAGCCGCGGUAAUACGGAAGGUCCAGGCGUUAUCCGGAUUUAUUGGGUUUAAAGGGAGCGUAGGCUGGAGAUUAAGUGUGUUGUGAAAUGUAGACGCUCAACGUCUGAAUUGCAGCGCAUACUGGUUUCCUUGAAUACGCACAACGUUGGCGGAAUUCGUCGUGUAGCGGUGAAAUGCUUAGAUAUGACGAAGAACUCCGAUUGCGAAGGCAGCUGACGGGAGCGCAACUGACGCUUAAGCUCGAAGGUGCGGGUAUCAAACAGGAUUAGAUACCCUGGUAGUCCGCACAGUAAACGAUGGAUGCCCGCUGUUGGUACCUGGUAUCAGCGGCUAAGCGAAAGCAUUAAGCAUCCCACCUGGGGAGUACGCCGGCAACGGUGAAACUCAAAGGAAUUGACGGGGGCCCGCACAAGCGGAGGAACAUGUGGUUUAAUUCGAUGAUACGCGAGGAACCUUACCCGGGCUUGAA